This 1078-nucleotide long non-coding RNA is filed under the name Sus scrofa (pig). Its description in RNAcentral is "lncRNA (ENSSSCG00045029237.1)". Lineage: Eukaryota; Metazoa; Chordata; Mammalia; Artiodactyla; Suidae. The record is from RNAcentral.
GUUGUUCAUGGUUUCACUAGCAAUACCAAUAGCACAGGGACACUCUUUGUUCAUUCAGACUAGUUAUUUUUCUCCUCUUGUAAUAUUUUGCUUCUAUCACAUUUGGCUUAAACAAUCUCAUUCCACGACAUUCCUCCCUCCAUCCCUCCCCAAACCUUUUCACUGCUGCCUGACUGAUAAAAGCCUCCACAUCUGAUAUUAACUUAAAACUUCCUUGAUUCCUUGAAGUGAGUUAUUCAUUAACAGAUCCUAAAUUACUGGUUGUUAGGCAGAUCUUCUAAUUCUUUCAGGCUACGGAUCUGCUCAGAGAGCCUUCUGUAAAUCUACUGUAGAAAUAAGCAAAGCUUUGUGCCAAUUGUCAGCACUAAGCAGAAAUUUGAGAGAGGGAGGAGAAGUUACUCAUUUGCUCGAUUCAGCAUGGUGAGUCCAGGGGAGGGAAUCAAGUGCACCUCGGGCUUGACAAGCAGCGCCGGGAAGCACGGCUACAGGACAGAAGGGGGCCAGGGCGACUGGGCUGCUUCUGAGUAUGGUUGUGGGUUCCAGCUGAGUUGCUCUAAAGAUCGAGCAUUUUGCCAUCUAUUUCCUAUGAUGGCCAGAGUUUCCUGUGCUAAAAGGACAACCUAAUGAGAUAGACUGGAUGUGUAUUAGACCCAGUUUGCAGAUAAGAAAACUGAGGCUUGGGGAAGGGAAGAGAGUGAACCAGAGGUCUCAUAACCACCAAGUGGCCUCGUUGGAACUUGAAUCUGGGUCCCCAGACAAGCAGGUGCUUAGUAUGUAUUCAGUGCACAUAUGUUGAAUGAAACCUACCCUGAAAGUUCUCACUAAACAUCAUUUUCCUCACAAAGCCAUUCCUUAUCAUCUCUCUUCUCUCUUAUACUUCUCCAAACUUCUCUUUGUAGUGUCUAGGAGACUUUUUUCUGGAUCAUCCUUGUGGAAUAUUUGGUACAAGUCUCUCUCCCUCCCCUAACCUUAGAUGUGUGAAAGUUUUCAUAUAUAGCUGUGUGUUAAAAUGUUGCACAUGGUGGACAUGCAAGAAUAACAGCUGAAGUUAGAAACAUGAAUGUGGGGCUCCACACCA